This 436-nucleotide unclassified non-coding RNA is filed under the name fungal sp. RNAcentral describes it as "partial internal transcribed spacer region". The stretch from base 1 to 46 matches the Rfam family "Eukaryotic small subunit ribosomal RNA", at positions 1786 to 1831 of the family's 1831-position model. The record is from RNAcentral. Lineage: Eukaryota; Fungi.
AAGUCGUAACAAGGUUUCCGUAGGUGAACCUGCGGAAGGAUCAUUUCCGAAAAAACAUAACCAAUCAACCCCACUGAGAGAAAUGAAGGUGGAGGGAAGGAAAGGAAGGGGAGUGAGAGUAAGGGAAUUUAAUUUCUUUUUCUCUUGUCUCUUUUCGUCUUCUCUUUGCUUUUGUUUUCUUUUUGUUCAUGUGUACUUGAUAUGUUUACUCGUAUCAUUUUAGUCCAAGUGUCUCCUUUUUUUUACUCUCGAAGACUUCUCGUAAGUCGGAGAGAGGCCAUUGAAGAACCCCUUUUAUCCUUGUCAAAGAAGAAUUUACUUUUUUUCAAUGAUGUGGAGAAAAAACAAAUUAAAAGUUAUUUAAUCCUUUUGAAACAUAAAGAAUGAAACAAACAAAUUUAUACGACAACUUUUAACGGUGGAUCUCUUGGCUCGU